CCAAUAGCGUAUAUUAAAGUUGUUGUGGUUAAAAAGCUCGUAGUUGAACCUUGGGCCUGGCUGGCCGGUCCGCCUCACCGCGUGUACUGGUCCGGCCGGGCCUUUCCCUCUGUGGAACCUCAUGCCCUUCACUGGGUGUGACGGGGAAGCAGGACUUUUACUGUGAAAAAAUUAGAGUGCUCCAAGCAGGCCUAUGCUCGAAUACAUUAGCAUGGAAUAAUAAAAUAGGACGUGCGGUUCUAUUUUGUUGGUUUCUAGGACCGCCGUAAUGAUUAAUAGGGACAGUCGGGGGCAUCAGUAUUCAAUUGUCAGAGGUGAAAUUCUUGGAUUUAUUGAAGACUAACUACUGCGAAAGCAUUUGCCAAGGAUGUUUUCAUUGAUCAAGAACGAAAGUUAGGGGAGCAAAGACGAUCAGAUACCGUCGUAGUCUUAACUAUAAACGAUGCCGACUAGGGAUCGGUGGGAGUUAGUUUUAUGACUCCAUCGGCACCUCAUG
This 496-nucleotide unclassified non-coding RNA is filed under the name uncultured Paraglomus. Its description in RNAcentral is "SSU rRNA". It matches the Rfam family "Eukaryotic small subunit ribosomal RNA", at positions 591 to 1092 of the family's 1831-position model. The record is from RNAcentral. Lineage: Eukaryota; Fungi; Glomeromycota; Glomeromycetes; Paraglomerales; Paraglomeraceae.